UUCUGGAAGUUACGUGUUGCUAAAGGACAGCCUACACCUUCUGUAGCUUCUCAGAAUUCUGUUAACAAGAAUGUUCCACCGGCUUUAGAAUGGAAUCAUUCUCCACCAUCCACUUCUCAGCAACCCAUUGGAUCAUCAAAUACAUUUGAAAGAUCUGUUGCAGAGACAACAUAUGAAGUUACCCCACUGGACGAUGAAGGUGAAAUCAAAUCUGUUUAUGUGAGAAACUUGCCACCUACUGUAUCUCCUUUCGAAAUUGAAGAGUAAUUUAAAAAUUUUGGUAAACUAAAGCAACCUGAGAGCGUGGUCAUUAGGAGUCGCAAGGAUGUUGGUGUUUGUUAUGCAUUUGUCAAGUUUGAAGACAUUACCGGUGUUCAAAAUGCAGUCCAGGUUUUCCUUACUAUUAUUAUUUAAUUUAAAACCCAAUACUAUGUGUUUGUUUAUCAAACUUGAAUGCUGAUAAAAUAUUUAUCAUUUUCCUCCUUGAUGAAGUCAGCUUCUAUCUACUUAAUGUUAUUAGUUUUGGAUGAAUGCUAGCUGGCUUUGCUUAUAUUAACUCUAUCUUCUGCCAAAUUUGAAAUUCACUCUCUUAAAAUUAUCUCUGUUGGUAAUGGAUCUUCUGACUGGAUGUCAAUUAAUUAGGAUUGUUCUUUACAACUGUAGGCAACAACUGUUCAGAUUGCUGGACGACAAGUAUACAUUGAAGAGCGCAGACAAAAUAGCAACAUCCCAUCUCGAUUAGCAAUUCAUCGAAGAAGGUGUAGAGGAGAAUAAUACUGAUACUGGUGAAGGAACUGGUGAUGAUGAAUGCAUCUCUAUUAUUAAUGAACGAAACAUAGAAAAUGUAGGUUCUUUGCACUUGCAAGAUCAGGACGAGUGGACAUUAGAUUGUGCUGAGGCAGGGGAGCUAGAGGACAGAGCACAUUAUCGCCAGGCCGGUGAAAGCAGUGUACCUGAAACUUAAGAUACAAAUGACGAGUGUCUCUUCACACAUUAAGCGAAAGACCGAAAGGAAUGAAAAAAUUUCAAGUGGGAAAUAGUCAAUUGCCCUCGUCAAACAUCGUCAGUAGAGUGCGGCUUUUAUAUCAUAAGGAUAAUGAAAGACUAUUGCUUGAAUGAGAUACACAUGCGAUGGCUAACUACUAAUUGUGGUGGGAAGAAUACAUAUACACUAGGUGAAAUUAAUGAAACUCGAAAUGAAUGGGCAGCCAAGCUUCUUGAGCGGAUGAGUCAUAGCUAGAGUAAUUUUUUAAAUCUGAAUUAAAAAAUAUACUAAUUGCAGUAUUUAGUUAGCACUUACAUAGUUAUUCUAAGUGUAUAUUUUGAUUUUGUAAUUUUUAAAUUUGGAACAUACUAAGUCCUAUUGAUUUAAUCUGCCUAUUGAUUUUGUCUGAACUAUGUUGUAGUUACAGAAAUUAUGAAUGAAUAUAGUGGUUGAAAAUAAAGAAAUGAAAAAAUUCUCAUAUUCUA
Molecule: long non-coding RNA, 1470 nt
Organism: Humulus lupulus (European hop)
Lineage: Eukaryota; Viridiplantae; Streptophyta; Magnoliopsida; Rosales; Cannabaceae
Exons: 7
Source: RefSeq, a predicted model, not a curated record